This is a long non-coding RNA of Hipposideros armiger (great roundleaf bat), 220 nucleotides long. RefSeq lists it as uncharacterized. The transcript is spliced from 3 exons. NCBI's taxonomy places the organism in Eukaryota, Metazoa, Chordata, Mammalia, Chiroptera, Hipposideridae. The record is from RefSeq and is a predicted model, not a curated record.
GGCCAACAGAGAUGUCGAUAAGAACAAAUGCGUGUUUUGUUCUUGGGAAUUCUGGACCUUCCGAAACAACGAGUAGCUGAAACGUUUCUAAGACCCUGGAUAGAGACGCCAUCCCUGGCUGAGCAUAAACUCUUAAUAAGUAGCCACCAGGAAACAUGCUGAAUAUCUUUGAGAAGGCACACUUCAGAGAGAUUGCAGAUUCGGUUCGAGACUGCCGCAG